Molecule: ribosomal RNA, 292 nt
Filed under: uncultured soil bacterium
Lineage: Bacteria
Description: partial 16S ribosomal RNA
Rfam family: Bacterial small subunit ribosomal RNA
Source: RNAcentral
AGAACGAACGCUGGCGGCAUGCCUAAUACAUGCAAGUCGAACGAAGGCUUCGGCCUUAGUGGCGCACGGGUGCGUAACGCGUGGGAAUCUGCCCCUUGGUUCGGAAUAACAGUUGGAGACGACUGCUAAUACCGGAUGAUGACGAAAGUCCAAAGAUUUAUCGCCAAGGGAUGAGCCCGCGUAGGAUUAGCUAGUUGGUGAGGUAAAGGCUCACCAAGGCGACGAUCCUUAGCUGGUCUGAGAGGAUGAUCAGCCACACGUGGGACUGAGACACGGCCCAGACUCCUACGGG